UAAUUAAUUUACAAUUGCAGAAAACCUGAUUCAUGUUCUUGCUGCAGAAAACCACUGUCCUCUGCUACACUCAUCAGCUUCAAAUUUACACAAAUAUUAUGAUGUAAUAUUCUGAUUUAUUUUGAUGAUUGAUGAAAAAUUUUCAUGGAUCCUUGGGUGAAUCAAGAGGAAGGAACAGAAGAAUCCAAAAGAUUUAGCCACAGCCAUGUGGUGGGAAGGCAUCCAUGUGCAUGAUGCAGCACGAACAAGCUUUUCAAGCUUGUUUAUGUUGAAGAAUUAAUCGCCAUGAAGAUCCUGUUCCAGUGCCCUUGCUGUUCCUGCUUCUGCUUCUUGGACAGAGACAGAGAAACAGAGGAGGAGGAUCGAUGAGGAGGAGAAGGAAGAUCGAAAUGAUCGAGUGAGUUGCUGGCGUUUCUUCUUCUUCCUCUUCUUCAUCUCCUCACCUCAACUCUCGCGUUCAUCUGUAAAAUGGUUGCAAAUUAAAUAAAGUUUGAAUUGUUAAGA
Long non-coding RNA from Zingiber officinale, 504 nucleotides. RefSeq lists it as uncharacterized. The transcript is spliced from 2 exons. The record is from RefSeq and is a predicted model, not a curated record. NCBI's taxonomy places the organism in Eukaryota, Viridiplantae, Streptophyta, Magnoliopsida, Zingiberales, Zingiberaceae.